Neofelis nebulosa (Clouded leopard) is the source of this 1575-nucleotide long non-coding RNA. RefSeq lists it as uncharacterized. Lineage: Eukaryota; Metazoa; Chordata; Mammalia; Carnivora; Felidae. The transcript has 5 exons. The record is from RefSeq and is a predicted model, not a curated record.
CGGGCCGCCAGGAACAGCGGCGUCUGCUCCUGUACCGGAAGAAACAGCCAGAGGGCGAGAUCAGGGAGGGCCACGCCCACAGGGCUGGCCCUUCCGGACUCCACUCUCUUGACGACUGGCCCCUCCCCAUUCAGGUCCGCGGGUAUCCACGUCAGGGACAUCCAUCUCAGAUUCCUGGGGAGGAGUCAGCAUGGCUGCCUGGGGAAGCUCCUGACAGUCACCCCUCAGAGGACAGAGCUGGCACUUGGAGGGAAAGAGUCUUUCCCAGAGCCUGGGUUCAUCCUCACUCUUACUUGAGGCCAAUGCUAUCUUCACCCAGGGGAGGCCGGCGUCUGCGGGGAGUGGGCUGAGUUCGAGGCCUUCGAAUGAAACCAGGGGGCAGCCAGAGGGCCCCAUGCUCACGGCGCCGCCGCCGGAUGAGCUGAAGGACGAGAAGAGCCCCAAGGGCCAGGAGGAGCACCCCAGCCACUGCUUCCUGAUAUCGGGUUGGUCACUAUACCCCUGGGGAGACCUGUCUCCCUUAAAACUAACUUGGAGUUUUGGCAUUCUGGAAAAUGGGACCUGUCAUUGUUGGUGGGAGUAUUGCAGGCUGGCCCUGCUGAGCAGACCUGAGACACAGUGUCCUUCCUUUGGUGGCCUUUCCUUGGUGGGGAGGAGAAAAGCAGCUGGCCUCCAGACUCGGCACCUUGCUGUGCCACCACCGCUGUGUGCCCUCAGGUGUGUCUGGCCUCUCUUGUCUGGAUUUCCUAAUCUUUAGGCGGGUACAGUGUUCCAGAUAAUGAUAAGGAGACAGACGUCUCAUCUGUUCCCCCCAGUGGCAACAGCGGUGGUGGUGGCUGGCACUGGGCUAAGUGACCACCUCCUGAACAUCAUUCCCUUUCCUCCUCUCGACAAUGUUAUGAAGUGUGGACAUCAGCUGGCAACUGAGGAUGCAGAGAGCUUAACUAUCUGAUGCAAGGGCGCGCGUCUCAUCGGUGGCAGAGCUGGCACUGGACACGUGGGCCCCUGCUCUGAAGCACAAGGCCUGGCAAGUUGCCAUUGACAGUCCUCCUUGUUGUCACACCACAAGAGGCUGGUCUCCCACCCCCAAAUCCUCAGAAUUACCCAGGCACUCAAAAUAUCUCCAUGCCUGGGCCCACCCCAGACCCACUAAAGCAGCCUUUCUGGGACGUGGGCACCAGUAUGUUGCAGGCUUUCCAGGUGAUUGCUGUGCCUUGCCACGUUUGAGAAGCCUUGCUCUUCUAGUCCACCCCUCACAGAUCACUUUCCUCCCUGUGUGGUCUUCACUGCCCUGUCCAGUCCCCUCCCUCCUGGUAGAUCAGAGGAGCCUUCCUCUCCAGGGGCUCUCACCUCUGUCCCAUACGCCUGACUGCUUCCCCAGGCUAGGACACCCUGCCCACCAGGGGUCCCACACCCUCGCCCCAGGGUUGCACCCCUCUUCCUUGCCUUGAUACCCGUUUCUCUCUCUGGGUCAGAUCCCUUCCACCCCCAUUACACCUUCCACCACCACAGUCUUUCCAGGUGCUGUUAUGGGCUCCUACUUGGAAGAAUAAAGGCCAGAAGCCCAUUAUGCAG